This 251-nucleotide long non-coding RNA is filed under the name Manihot esculenta (cassava). RNAcentral's name for it is "long non-coding RNA (MESC_LNC004471)". The record is from RNAcentral. Lineage: Eukaryota; Viridiplantae; Streptophyta; Magnoliopsida; Malpighiales; Euphorbiaceae.
AAGGCUUUCGGAGGCCUAAAGCGCUCCCAAAACCCCACCAUGUUCGGCGGCCGAACUUAACUUUCGGCGGCCGAACCUGGCAAAGUCUCCUUGGUCUAUUUCAUUCAAAACUCAAUUUCCUUUUUGCUUAAAAACAUAAAAUACAUUAAAAACAUUUCAUAAAACAUGGUUUUACCCUUCUAGAGGUUUCCGACAUCCGAGAUUCCACCGGACGGUAGAAAUUCCGAUACCGGAGUCUAGCCGGGUAUUAC